Molecule: transfer RNA, 74 nt
Filed under: Chloroflexota bacterium
Lineage: Bacteria; Bacillati; Chloroflexota
Description: tRNA-Cys
Rfam family: tRNA
About the family: Transfer RNA (tRNA) molecules are approximately 80 nucleotides in length. Their secondary structure includes four short double-helical elements and three loops (D, anti-codon, and T loops). Further hydrogen bonds mediate the characteristic L-shaped molecular structure. tRNAs have two regions of fundamental functional importance: the anti-codon, which is responsible for specific mRNA codon recognition, and the 3' end, to which the tRNAs corresponding amino acid is attached (by aminoacyl-tRNA synthetases). tRNAs cope with the degeneracy of the genetic code in two manners: having more than one tRNA (with a specific anti-codon) for a particular amino acid; and 'wobble' base-pairing, i.e. permitting non-standard base-pairing at the 3rd anti-codon position.
Source: RNAcentral
CACCGCGUGGCCGAGCAGAUAGGCGGACGGCUGCAACCCGUCAGACGCAGGUGCGAACCCUGUCGCGGUGUCCA